GAGAAUCUCGAAGCAGUACAACCCUAGAAUUGGCUGUUCUCAACCAAACUGAACCACAUCCCCCUAUGUUCGGAACACUUACCUCUCCUCCUAAUGACGGGAUGUGUCAAAGUGAGCAAGCUAUCAUUUGCGCUCCAUCUUCGGCCGAGCUUGUGGAUCAUACAGCGGGUGAUCUUGGUUUGGACCUACUUUAAUUCCUAAAUACUCUAGACAACACCACGAGU
This is a long non-coding RNA of Rosa chinensis, 224 nucleotides long. RefSeq lists it as uncharacterized. The record is from RefSeq and is a predicted model, not a curated record. The transcript is spliced from 2 exons. NCBI's taxonomy places the organism in Eukaryota, Viridiplantae, Streptophyta, Magnoliopsida, Rosales, Rosaceae.